CAGGCGCCGCGGCCUGGACGCGUGGGUUCUACUCUGGACUCACACCAGGGACCACUUUGUGACGUUGCAUCCGUUCCUUCCCUUCGUCUCUUCCUCUCCGAGCCUCAGUUUCCCCAUCUUCCGAAAGGGGCCUGGCAUAUCCUGGGCAGGCAGAUGGUGGAUCAGAGGUAGUGAGGUGCCUACAAGGAAAUGCUCCCAACAGGGUGGCUUGGAGGAAUCCUCCUUCCUCAGCACUCAUGGGCCGGGCACUGUUCUAGGCCGUGGGGGUGGGGAUCGAGCAGUGGCCACACUGACAAAGCCCCUACCCUUGUGGAAGUGACAUUCUACUGAGGCCAUGGACACGUACAGUACCCAAGUAAGCAGUGAGAAGAUGGCACGGGCCACGGAGAAAAAUGAAGCAAGGUUGGCAGGACAGGGCGUGCUGUGCAAAGGCAACGCAGCCCCCAGGACCCACGGUGGGCCUCGCCCCAGGCCCUCCUUGCAAAGCUCUGAACUGCUCACUCCCAAACUGCUGGUUGUUCAAGGUCAUGGGAAACCUGCAGACUUGGCAUUCUCCAAGGGAGUCUCCCACCCUCCACCUGCCAGAAUGACAGAGGCUCCCCCAUGGAGAUUCCUGGCAUGCCCAGCCCCACGUCUGGGUUGAGAGUAGUGACUCAGAAGAAAAUGAAGGCUACUGCUAGCAACCAAAUGAGGGGACACCCCUGGGAGACUGUGAUCCUCUCCUCCAGGCUACUUUCCCACUGGUGCCAGGAUUCCCCCAACGCCACACUGAGAACCCAG
Molecule: long non-coding RNA, 780 nt
Filed under: Homo sapiens (human)
Lineage: Eukaryota; Metazoa; Chordata; Mammalia; Primates; Hominidae
Description: HSALNT0405155
Source: RNAcentral